This 2344-nucleotide long non-coding RNA is filed under the name Gallus gallus (chicken). RNAcentral describes it as "lncRNA (ENSGALG00010001671.1)". The record is from RNAcentral. Lineage: Eukaryota; Metazoa; Chordata; Aves; Galliformes; Phasianidae.
CUUAAAAACAGACAGGGGGUCCUCCUGCCUGCCUGCUCCCAUCUCAGGAAAGAGAACGGUGUUCCCAAGUCUGGAUCUGUUAGACGAGAUAUCCGGCAGGAAGGCAGAGCUGUUAUCUGCAAGCACUGUGAUAGGAUGGACAGAGAGGAGACUUAUCUCGCAGCUGGGGGAGCACAGAUUGCCCACGCUUCCCACAUUUCCUCCGAUUCAGAUAACUGCUUCCAAAUUAAUCGGUGUCCUUAUUCCUCUCAAACAAAAUGCUCCUGGCCUCUGUUAGAAUCACCAGUUUUCUGCACAGAGCUGAAGACGUGAGCAAAGCUCAGAAAAAUAAUGGAAAUAAGAAGCAUCAGCUCUAAUAAGAAAGCACUGCGAGUCCUGAUGGAUUGAGAACAAAACCUUCCACACAGAAAGAGAAAACAGCGCAGGAAAAUGCCCUUUUCCCCCAGUUGACAGAAGCACGUACACAGGAAAACUGCAGCUCGCCCACGGCAGCUCUGUGUCCCUCAGCUCUGCUCCACUCUACAAAGUGAUGUCAUCAUGUACUGCUUUAGUCCUGAGGUGCCUCCAAUGGCCGCUGUGCCAUCUCAGCUGCUCUUCAGAGCUUCUGCAAAUGAACUCCAUCUCUAUCUCCACAGCAACAACUCACAAACAGAGGCCUAUGACUUCAGCUGAGGAGCAUGCAGCAGGCAUUGAUGAGCUGCCAAGCAACGAAGAUUUGGUUUCAGGGUGGAUGCAGAAGCCAGAUAGUGACAUUUUUCUUGGGUUUUUGUCUGCCCUCCUUCCGGUGAAUUCCCACUGAAGAUAAUUUGGGCUCCGAGAGAAGAAACCCCUCCCCGGGAACUUGUUAUUUCAGUAACAGCUGAGUAAGGCCCAUGGAGGUCUUCAGGCUUCAGACAACCCUUUGGAAGCAAUAAUAACAGCAAGGAAAGAAACAAGAUGGAAAGCAUGGCCCGUGGCCAUCGAUCUACCCAGGCAGUUUGCUGCUGGUGGCACUUCAGCUGGAUGCAAAACCAGCACGAAAAAAAAAACCAAACCACGAUCCAAGUACAAGGUGCCAACAAGUUCAUCUUUAAUUAGCAGUUAAUUAGUUGUUUUGCUCAUUCGUCAGAGCACGAAUGUUUCCCAGCUGUGUAUCUAAACAGUAUUCCUCAGCCUUUCAGGCCCCCCUGUGAUCCCUGCAUCACUGAACAGCCCUGGAGUUCCCUCCAUUCCCCCCGUGGGUGCAGUCCCGCAGCCAUGGGAGCUCUCAGUGGGGGCGAUGCUCUGCGGUGCCUCAGUUCCAGCCCUGCUCUGUGCUCCCUGCCCAGCACUGCAGGGCUUUCCAGUCCUCCUACACGAGAGAGCAAUGCUUUCUCUGAAGCGUCCUUAGGCAGCCUACCUGCCUGGUGAAGGAUGACUAUUCCUAAAUGGCUUUGCAGUCUUUUGAAAAACCAGUCAUGAAAUAAUUGAGUCAAGCUUUCGUGAAAUAGAUCUUAAUUUUAUUCUAUGGAUGUCAUAGAUCUGAAAUUCUCAAAUGCUGAUGAACUUCCGUACAAACGCUUUAUGAUACUGGAAGUUCCCAGUGCUUGCAGUGCAGUCCUGCAGCGGUGUGGUGUUGGCAUAAGAACAAAUGGGAGGAGAGCGUUAAGAGAAUGUAAAAUAAAGAUAACUCUGAAGUAAACCCAAACAGUAGCCAACCAAUUACCUUAUCAUUCCCACUUUGCAGCUCGGGCAGAAUUUAUUAGUGAUCAGCAGCUGAAUUUGGUGCACAAGAUUUGCCACAUUCUGGGUCUGCCUUUAAUUCUGAGUGGCCCACCUGGGGAGGGCUGCUUACAUCCAAAGGGAGAGCAGUACUUCUUGCUGGAGAAGGUAACUCCUAGGUUUUUCCUAGUAGCUGCAUGGCAGGAGCCACGUAGUGCAGCACAGCUCCCCACCCAGGCUGCAGCUGCCCCCCAUCAGCCCAGGAGCACAGCCCUGGUGGGAUGCAGGCUGGCACAGACAGCACAGCCUGCAGCCGCUCACCCAUCACACUCCAAAAGGGCCUCACACAGCGCAGUGGGAGCCGCACAGCACUUCCUCCUCCCCAUGCACUUCCUGGUGCCCAGCCUGGUGAUGGCAGACAUCCCUCCUACAGUCCCCACCCCAGGCUGAGCACCGGGUGCUUCCAGAGGCUUUCACAGCCUUGCAUGGUGGCCGCAGUGCUGGUGGUCACCUCUACGAGCGGCCCCAACGCUGUGGUGGCUGUUGCAGGAGCACCAGCCGUGUUCCCCUCCUGCAGGGCUGCAGCUGUGCGCCGUGCAGCCCUUAUCUGUGUCAUGCAGGCCUGGCGCAGGAAGGGAGCGUGGGGCCGGGGCACCGCCUGCAG